GAGGGGUAUGGCAGCAAUGCCAGAGACCGGCGCACGGGUGCGUAACGCGUAUGCAAUCUGCCUUUCACAGAGGGAUAGCCCAGAGAAAUUUGGAUUAAUACCUCAUAGCAUAAUGAGUUGGCAUCAACACAUUAUUAAAGUCACAACGGUGAAAGAUGAGCAUGCGUCCCAUUAGCUAGUUGGUAAGGUAACGGCUUACCAAGGCGACGAUGGGUAGGGGUCCUGAGAGGGAGAUCCCCCACACUGGUACUGAGACACGGACCAGACUCCUACGGGAGGCAGCAGUGAGGAAUAUUGGUCAAUGGGCGCAAGCCUGAACCAGCCAUGCCGCGUGCAGGAUGACGGUCCUAUGGAUUGUAAACUGCUUUUGUACGGGAAGAAACAGCGAUUCGUGAAUCGCCUUGACGGUACCGUAAGAAUAAGGAUCGGCUAACUCCGUGCCAGCAGCCGCGGUAAUACGGAGGAUCCAAGCGUUAUCCGGAAUCAUUGGGUUUAAAGGGUCCGUAGGCGGUUUUGUAAGUCAGUGGUGAAAGCCCAUCGCUCAACGGUGGAACGGCCAUUGAUACUGCAAGACUUGAAUUAUUAGGAAGUAACUAGAAUAUGUAGUGUAGCGGUGAAAUGCUUAGAGACUACAUGGAAUACCAAUUGCGAAGGCAGGUUACUACUAAUGGAUUGACGCUGAUGGACGAAAGCGUGGGUAGCGAACAGGAUUAGAUACCCUGGUAGUCCACGCCGUAAACGAUGGAUACUAGCUGUUGGGAGCGAUCU
RNAcentral lists this ribosomal RNA (768 nucleotides) under uncultured Bacteroidota bacterium. Its description in RNAcentral is "bacterial SSU rRNA". It matches the Rfam family "Bacterial small subunit ribosomal RNA", at positions 64 to 835 of the family's 1533-position model. The record is from RNAcentral. Lineage: Bacteria; Pseudomonadati; Bacteroidota.